Long non-coding RNA from Cydia splendana, 324 nucleotides. RefSeq lists it as uncharacterized. The transcript has 2 exons. Lineage: Eukaryota; Metazoa; Arthropoda; Insecta; Lepidoptera; Tortricidae. The record is from RefSeq and is a predicted model, not a curated record.
UUGCGCCGCAGGGGCAUCCGUGGGGGGCGCAGACCUUGACCCCUAGCCUAAGGCUUACGGCUAGGCGUAGGGUAUCCGGUUCUAAAUAUGUACCAGAGGGGGGGGAGGGGUAGGCAUGCAGCCACUGGCCGGAUUCCCGUUCUGCAGCAGCGAGCAGCCGCGCACGUAAAUUUUGCGCAUACCCAGCCCACCGAAUCUGAUGGGCAGGCACGCCUGGUUCCAAGAAUGCUCGCUAAGCUGUAUAUUUAGAAUGGUUUCAAGGGAAGAUCUAAUAAGGUUGUCAAUCGGUAAUAAGGAGUUUUGGUGUUUCCAAAAUGGACAGCA